Molecule: long non-coding RNA, 2887 nt
Filed under: Homo sapiens (human)
Lineage: Eukaryota; Metazoa; Chordata; Mammalia; Primates; Hominidae
Description: HSALNT0247923
Source: RNAcentral
UCUCAGGCAGGAGUGGGAACAAGCCUGAAAAUCUCCAUCUCCCCAGAGGGGCAGAGUAGAAGUUUGGAAAAGGCUUCCAGAUGACUUUGAUAUGCACAUAUCCCUUUUCUAGAAUUGAGAACCACGGCCUCAAGGACCUCUCUGCGCUUUGGGGAAACAGACCUGAUUUGGUCCUCCUGGGUUCCUGAAAAGAAGUCCUCUUUACAGCCCCAGAGUCUUCUUUCCUCUCCAGGCUCUGGAAGCCCCACAGUCAACCUGCGUAGUCUACCUGUGCUACACACCCUCUGCAACCCAGCACUGCCAUAUCAAAAAUAAACAUUCCGGCUUCCACAAAACGGCUUUGCCCUGCUGAGCGGACCUGAUGGGGCAUUUUCAACAUGCUUAUCAAGGUAUCAAGAUUGGACGGCUGGGACGAGGCCAGAUAAUGACAGAACUUUCCCUCAGAAAAUGUCUUAAAUGUCAUGGAGCGGUUAUUGAAGGCCGUGAUGGGUUGGAUUAAUAUGGACUUGUUUGCACUUGGAAGGAUUACUGAGGCAGUGUGUAAAUGAUGGGUUUACGGGAAUGAAAACAUCAGAAAGAUCUGUUAGGAAGCUACUUAAAUAACCCAGCACAGGAGAGAUGACAGUUUAAACCAAGAGAAGUCGGCUGGAGAUGGAAGAGUAGAUUUGAUGGCUACUUAGGGAAAAGCAAUUGAUGGGACCUGCAGCUUGGUUAGAUGUUGAGGGGAAAGAAGAGAGAAACCUCUGAGGCUUCUGCAUUAGGUAAAUGGGGGAAGGCGGUGAGGUUAUCCAUAAGAGGGAAAAUGCAUGGAAAGCCAGUUUAUGGAGCAGGAGGACGUGUUCCGUUUUGACAUGCUUGACUCGAAGUGUUUUGGAGACACCCAAGAAGGGGACCCAGUGAGCGUUAGGGGAGGGUCUGUCAUGCCCAGAAGAGAGUUAUUAGCUCUCAGGUGGCAGCAGAAGCCAGGGGGUUGAACCAAAUCACACAGAAAGAUUGGAUGCUGUGAGAAAAUAAGGCCACAGAUGAAGUCAUAAUGAAUCCCAACAUUUUAUGACAUGGACCCAGGAACAGAAGACCGCAAAGUGGGCUGGGAUCUGUGAGCCCAGAAAAGCAACGUUCCACCAAAGUCAAGGGAGGCUGGAAUGUCAAAUUGGAGGUGUCUAGGAGUGUCAAAUAUUGCAGAAGGUGUUAAAAAGGACCGAAAAGUGUCUGCUGAGAUUUGCUAUCCAGAAGGUAAUUAAAACUUGAUGACAGUACUUCCAGUUGAGAAUUAAUUGCCUCCAAGUGUUAUUCACAAAGAUUCUGUGAGGCUGGAUGGGCGGUGGCCAUUCGUAAGGCUCAUCUUUUAAAGAAGUUUAACAUUGAAAUUCUACAUAUCUCUGUUUCAUAGAAAUAUGUAUAUAUGUAUAAAAUCUCUAGUAACAUCUUCGUUUUCUAGCCAAGUUAUGUUUCAGUUCAAUAUUAUUAAGAUGUUAUUUGUUUUUUACUUCCCUCCAAAUUGAAGUGUGGUUAAAAUUGGUGUGACGCAUGUCAAGCUAGUGCCGAUCACGUUUAGGAAUUAGGCUCAGCUCUAAAUGAGUAAUGCUAAUGUUUGUUGAAAUCUUGAAGCCCUGACUUUCUGUUCAGAAGAAGAGCAGUGAACUCCAUCUCCUCUUUAACUGUUUGGGCCACUGCUAGGGCCCUGCAGCCAGCAAUCCCACAGUCUCUCCUGCUGGAUUAAGUGGCGAUGCCUGACACGGCCUGGUAUUUGGGGUGGGGAGGUAGGAAAUAAUAAGGAGUGAUUUCAUUUGUUUCUACAAAUUACAGCUGGUGUGCUGAGUCCUUCCUUGGGGCCUUGUGUCAAGGGCUCGGGACCCUGCUGGGGCAGGGGAGGCAGCUCCUGCUCAAUUGCUAUCAGUGAUGAGUGUGACAUGUGCAAUGUACAAGUCCCCUAAAUGUUUACAUGCCAUGAUGAGGCAUUUAAAUAGGUAAAAAAUUAAAAUCUAUACUUUUUCUGUCUUUAAAGCACAGCUCAAAAUGGCCUCUGCAGAAUAAAUGGAAUGAGCUAGGUGUGGAACUCCAGGCACAGCGGUCAAUUAAGGGCUGUUCAUUAACAUUUCAAGCACUGCAGAUAGGUGGGUCUUAGCAGCUGGAGUUAAGUAGUGUGUUCUGAUAGAUAUUCCUAUUGUGAAUUCUUCAUUGGUUACUAUAAUCUUUACGGAAGCCUAAACCACUUCUCAAAUAACUUCACCUUACAUUGUUCCAAAAAGAAAGAAAAGCUAUCUAUUCGAAGCUAGUUUAAAGAACAAUUAUUUGCCUGUGACCUGCCCUGGGAGUGUGCCUCUAUGCUCAGCUCACGUGCAUUUGCAGACACAUGCCCACAGGCUGCCAGGAUCUGAAAUCCACAAAUGGGUCCUUAAGUCAUAACUGACGACAAAUGUGUAACCAGAUUAAAAUCUCGCGACAUUUCUUAAACUGCUUUUACUGUAGCUCUGGAAACGUUGGUUUCAAAAAUCAGUCGUGUCACUGUCACUCUUGGAAUUCGAGAGCCCAGAGUCUAAAAGCCAGAAAGGUUGUUCAGAGCUUGGUCUCUGGCCUCUAGAGCUUUCCCAACAUGGGAUGGGCACACGCCUCAGGCACAGAUGACUUCACUCCCCAAAGACUGAACCAGAGAACUCCAAGGUUCAACUGAUCAUCUGCCUUAUUUUAUCCAUUAGUCUACUUUCAUUUGUUAGAAGAGACACAGUUUCUUUUUAUCUCUGUCUUCUCCUGACUAAUUCUAUUAGAUCAGCCCUCAAAUACAUCAUGUGAUUUGUACAGGGAUAUCAUUUUUAUUCUUUUUUUUUUCGGUCCCCUUUCACGUACCUCUAAUCAUUUUUAUCCUUGAAUGGCAUAAGUCAAACUUUUG